This is a small nucleolar RNA of Callithrix jacchus (white-tufted-ear marmoset), 71 nucleotides long. Lineage: Eukaryota; Metazoa; Chordata; Mammalia; Primates; Cebidae. The record is from Ensembl.
GCUUAUGAAUAAGGCAUUUAGUAAGCACGUGUUAGACUGCUGACACGGGUGAUGAGAACUGGAGUCUGAGC